RNAcentral lists this ribosomal RNA (322 nucleotides) under Sandonidae sp. RNAcentral describes it as "SSU rRNA". The stretch from base 62 to 322 matches the Rfam family "Eukaryotic small subunit ribosomal RNA", at positions 694 to 955 of the family's 1831-position model. Lineage: Eukaryota; Cercozoa; Glissomonadida; Sandonidae. The record is from RNAcentral.
GAUUUCUGGCUUGAUACGUUUUGCCGGCCGCGGUUUCGCGUGUUAGUGCUUUGCGUUCUGGCCAUCCUUCCAAUCGCUGUUCAGCUUUCUUCAUUGAUUGUUGAGCGGUAUUGGAUCUUUUACUUUGAAAAAAUUAGAGUGUUUCAAGCAGGCUUUAUGCUAUGAAUACAUUAGCAUGGAAUAAUAAUUUAGGACUUCGGUUCUAUUUUGUUGGUUUCUAGGACUGAAGUAAUGAUUGAUAGGGAUAGUUGGGGGUGCUAGUAUUCAGCGGCCAGAGGUGAAAUUCUCGGAUUCGCUGAAGACUAACUUAUGCGAAAGCAUU